UGAAUGACCACCUCACACUCUCAGUUACAGCCAGGGUAGAGCCAGAAGGCAGUGAGAGAACGGCUGCCAGUGCCCAAGUACUGGAGCUCAUUUGCCACCCCUCCAGCUUGUUAGUAUGGACUGCUACUGACUGGCAAUUAACACUUGUUCUCUUCUGGAUGCACCUUCUGGGAUCUAUUACAUUUUUUAAAAAACCCAGUUUACUGGUUGGCUUGCAGAAAUACAACCUGUUGUCUACAGGUCUGAGCAGGAUACCCCAUGGGCAUGACUGGAGAGUUACUACUUUGCUCCACUAUCUGCUUAUCAGUUCCUCUGGUUCCCUAUAAAUGAGGUUCAGAACUUC
Molecule: long non-coding RNA, 343 nt
Organism: Hemicordylus capensis (graceful crag lizard)
Lineage: Eukaryota; Metazoa; Chordata; Lepidosauria; Squamata; Cordylidae
Exons: 4
Source: RefSeq, a predicted model, not a curated record